This 253-nucleotide ribosomal RNA is filed under the name uncultured bacterium. RNAcentral's name for it is "partial 16S ribosomal RNA". It matches the Rfam family "Bacterial small subunit ribosomal RNA", at positions 524 to 776 of the family's 1533-position model. The record is from RNAcentral.
UACGGAGGAUCCAAGCGUUAUCCGGAUUUAUUGGGCUUAAAGGGUGCGUAGGCGGCCUAUUAAGUCAGGGGUGAAAGACGGUGGCUCAACCAUCGCAGUGCCUUUGAUACUGAUAGGCUUGAUUACGCUAGAGGUAGGCGGAAUGUGACAAGUAGCGGUGAAAUGCAUAGAUAUGUGACAGAACACCAGUUGCGAAGGCAGCUUACUGGGGUGUCAAUGACGCUGAGGCACGAAAGCGUGGGGAUCAAACAGG